AACUGCGGGCGAGUGGCGGUGGGUUCUGGUCAAGGCCCUGGGGACGCGGACCCUGGGGAGAAAAGCGAGCCCUGAGAGCUCUACGAGAAGAGCCGGCGCUCGGAGGGGGAGGGGCAGCUGCAGGGGCUGCCGGGCGGUCCCGCCCCUAGCUUGGGUCGGGACCCAGGCUCCGCAGGAGCACAAUCUCGAGAGUAGCUUUUGCUAUUCCUUCGGAGCCUUGAAAGUGGUGUAGCUUCGGGUGGACUUGCGGAGGACCAAGACCUUGAGAAGAUCGCGAUUGCUCUCCAGUCAUCGGACCCAGACCUAAGGUUAGUUCCCUGAGGAGAUUUUCAGAGAUGGACUCCACUCUAACAGCACGAGAGAUCCGAGAGCGGUUUAUAAAUUAUUUCAAACGAAAUGAGCACACCUAUGUCCACUCCUCCGCCACCAUCCC
RNAcentral lists this long non-coding RNA (433 nucleotides) under Rattus norvegicus (Norway rat). RNAcentral describes it as "long non-coding RNA NONRATT014713". The record is from RNAcentral. Lineage: Eukaryota; Metazoa; Chordata; Mammalia; Rodentia; Muridae.